Parus major (Great Tit) is the source of this 7072-nucleotide long non-coding RNA. RefSeq lists it as uncharacterized. The transcript is spliced from 3 exons. NCBI's taxonomy places the organism in Eukaryota, Metazoa, Chordata, Aves, Passeriformes, Paridae. The record is from RefSeq and is a predicted model, not a curated record.
AAGAUGCAAAACACAAGGUAACAAAGUGAAGAAGCAGUAAUAAUGUUGGGAAACUUUGUCAGAGUUCUAUAAUGUUAAUUGAUUCUUUAAAUGUUGCACAUCCCAGGCAGACACUCCUAUUUAGCAUGUGGUAUAUCAAAAUUGAGCAGGACACCCAGAGAGGGGCUUUAAUUUAUUUUGAAGUUGCAAUCAUCUAGUUCUUGUAGAACAAUUUGUCAUAUGUCACCAAAUAAAUAACACUGCAGGGCAUUUAAGUUUCUUAAAAUCACAGCAGCUGCUUUUCCAAGUGCUGCUAGAUCUGUGUACAUCGUUACAGGGGUCUGCAACAUGUUCCAUGGAUCCCAAUGAAGUUUUAUGUAAUUUUUAUAUUCAUAUAAUAUGAAGUAUUAUGAACACACAUUGUAAACGUCAAUAUGACAAUUUACCAUUAGAUGUUCCACUCAAGCAAGGUCAGAUCAGAUAAGGAGUUCAGGGGAUUUGCAAAGAGGAAAGGGAAAGAGAAAUUCAACCCAGCAAAGUAUCUCCAAGCUUCUCCAGCCCCAUCAUGUCCUGCUUUUCCCCAGAACACACCAAAAAAUCAGCUUUAUUGGUUGUAGCAGUACAUUGCUUUGUUCCUCGUGGAUUAAAUACUAACCCAAAUUUUUGCCUUCGGACACCUAGAACAACCUCCCUCCUCCCACUUGCCUCAUACAUGUCCACACUGCAGGAUGAAAGGAGGGCCAAAAUGGCUUAAACCUUUAGCUGUAAACCUAAAACAUCUCUCCUUUGGCCUACGGGAGGUUCCCUGUCUUCAUUGAUCCACCAACUGUUUAUUUUAAUACCAAAUAAAGCAGAAAGGGUCUUUAUGUCCCUCAUAAGGUCAGCUACACAGUUCAGUACAAACAUACAGCUCAACAACCAAACAAAUCAUAUUUUUUUCUGUUUUCAAAUUGUCCAGCAGCAUACCACAGUAUCUGCAGAGUGAGGUAGUCACAAUAGCCUCUGUGUAGGAUUUUUAUCUUUUAGCUGAUCAGCAAGAUAUAUCUUCCCAGUUUUGAGCAUCUUCAGCUAAAAGCAUUUUGGUUUACAGAAUAAUAAAGCAAUACGUUUUUGUUCCAUGACUCUAUAAUAAAGCAAUACAUUUUUGUUCCGUGACUCUGAAUGUAAUACAUGGCUUUCCUUGCAAGCCUUGCUGUGGAUCCGAAAAAAAGAAAUCUAUCAUCAUUUGCAGUAUUUGCUAUAAUUUUCAAUUUCCAUGAAUACUGUUGCCAGCAAACUACUUUACAAAAACAUUUGAGUAAACAAGAAAGGGAGUAAAUGUGAGUACAGUCAAAGGGAAGUUCCUUAAAAAUGUGAAUGAAUAUUCACCCUGUUCCAUAGCUGUUUCCAGGCUUCUAUCAGUUGGAGGUACUACCCUGAAAGCUGCUUGCUGGCUAGAGCCGGAUAUUGAUUCAAGCUAGUGCACUUUCACAUUGUCAUCUUAUUAUACCAGCUAGUGGAAUCUCACUCAUUGCAAUGAGGGUAGGAAAACAGAAUCCAAAGCAGAUAGAAGAACCCUUAAAUGCUUUAUCUGUAGGGACUUCACCUAACCUCUUCCCCAAACAAACACACAGAUGUUUUAGGUUCAUUUUCCCAUUCAUUUUCUAACCACCUCAGUGUAGAAGCCUCUGGAAGUGCCAAGUGCUUUUUAACUCCCUCUGCCAUCCUGCAAUAGUUCACAUUGUCACCCAUCUGUCUGCCACCGAAAAUACACCCAGCAUCAGUUUUCACAAAACAUCUGUGAAGGCAGGGUCUUGCUCAACUAUCUUAGUUAAUGAAAAGCUAUUAGCUUGAUUGCAAGCUGGUAAUUGUUCUAGCCCUGCAGAAAAUGCCACUAAAAUAAUUUUUACAGAACUCUUUUAAUAACUAGCUAUUUUUGUAGCACAAUUGUUUUUGAAUCUCAUGAGGCCAAUGUGUAAUACAUGACUGUUCCAGCUCACAGCUCUCACCACUCAGAGGGUAUAUAUCAGGUUUCAAGUUGCUAAUUUGUUAUGGUAAUCAAUACCUUAUUCUUUUUAACCACAGAGGCAAACUCAUUUGCUCUUUUCAGUUUGAUAUUGGAUUAUGAAUGAUUUACAUCCAUAACUACUGCAAAUGCCACAUGACACUUCACAGCAUCAGCUAGGGAUUUAAAACUUGUUUUUCACUGGAUUUUCAACAGAAUUUGUCUGCAAGUUGCCAGAUGACAGCACCAGCAGUAUUUGAUGGUUUGGGACCAUUGUUCAAAGAUGAUCACAUAGAUAAUGUUAUAUUCAUAAAUAUUCACAUUAAAAAAAAUUGAAAUAGUCAGAUCUGAUGAUCAACCAGUCAGUCCUUUCCAUUUUACCAGCUACCAUCCAUGCCUGCUACAGUAGCAAAAAGCAGGAGCUUGGAACUUACCAGCUCUAUUACAUCUAUCAACACCUCUGAGUUGUGCAGGAACAUAAGUAAAUCUGAUAAACACGCCUGCUAAACAGAUUUGUGUCAGCUGUAAAGAGGCUUUUCAGAGUAUAAUUUCUUGAAGCAUUUCCCAGGUGUCAUCCUAGGUUAUAAAUUAUAUGUAAUCCAAAGUGUAAUCCAGAAGGAAAAGAGGAUAUGGAAAUUUCAGCAUCCAUUUCCCAGUGGUUGUAACUUCAUCUCACAUCAUCUCUUAGGUCCUCCUUAGGCCACCACAGUGAUGCUUUGCACAUUUAAGGAAUAUUGUGAAGACAAACAUGAAGGCCUAUAAAUAUAGAUCUGUUUACAGGAUUGGGGGUUGAUUAUAUUUCAAAUAUGUUAAUUUCUUAAUAUUUUUAAAGGUUAGAAUGACAUUUCUUUCUUCAUUUACAUCCCUGAAUUUCCCUGUCAUUCAGUGGAUUCCUUCUUUUGAUUCCUCUUUUAUAUAUAGAUUUUAAUUGGUUUUUAUUUUCUCAGCACCACAGAUUUGCCUACCUAUUCUUUUAAAAUUAAUUUAUUACCAAGUGCCACAGUCACACUUCAGUGUUUCAUCUGGGUGACACUAAACUGAAGCAGCUUAGUUUAUAGGCCAUGUAAUUUUGAUGAGUCUUAAUUUUGCAUGAAGAUCAAGAAGCCAGGGCAGCAAAAGUCCUUCAUGGAAAGUGCUUUCUCUCUGGAAGAACACUUGUAUGAUGAACUCGUUCCUUGAUUGAAACUAUUUCUAAUUACAUUAACCAUAUUCUCCCUCUAAUCUCCCACCAUUACUAAGCUUGUUAUUUCAUUUCCUGAAGUCCUUGCACUUUCUGACGUAUCCCAUAUGAAAAUAUUAUGGCUAUAUCUAACUCCAGCAUAUUUCAGCCUGAUGUCUUUAGCUAGACCAUAGAUAUUGAAACAUAUGAACCUUUUAUUUUGCUAAUAGUCCAAAAGAGAGUGCUUUGGCAUAAGAUCAGUCAGUGCUUGUCUAAUGUAAAUGGCCUUCAUAAAGCAUUGAUUUCGUCAUUUAUUUUAAAAAUUCUCAUAGCUGUUUUGUUUGUGAUAAGUAUGUACUCGGAGCAUUUCCAGAAAAACUUGACAUAGAGCAAAAUAUGGGAAGCGUUUGUAGGAGUUCAAUCAGUUGACAGUACAUGAAAAACCUCAGGGGAGAGAAGUUUGCCUUAUGCCUCAAGAGUGAGAGCUGUGCUCUGCCAGAGCACAGCAGGAAGAACCUUCUGCAGUAAGAGCUAUAGAGAACUGACUUCAAAUGCUGGAUACCAGUCUUCAAACCUCAGCUGAAACAUUCCUUAUUUCAACCGUGAAAUUGGGAGGAAGGGUGAUCUACGAGUACCAACACAUUAAUCACAGUCAGCAUCAAAUCACUACCUUGAACUGCAUCUUCAAGUCAUCUGGAAGGUCCCUUACUGGGAAGCUAUCAGCAUGCUGAAUGAUUUGAUGAACUUCCACCCAUGGCACAGAGCCCUACCAAGAAAUAAAAAUUCACGUCAAAAUCCCCAUUUGCUUCAGAUUAUGUUUUGGUGAGAUUUCAAGGAAUCAGUAGAGUAACUGAAGCACAGAAAUAUCUGCCACUUGAAGAGCCACCAGGAGCCCAGCAUGGAUUUGUAGUCUAUCAUAUUUAAUGUCGCUGAGUGAUCCAAAUGAAUUAUCAUUGAUUUUUCUGUAUAUUUGUGCCUCUCCAAGAUGUAAUCACUUAUUAAUAAUACCAAAACUGUUAUUCUAAGAGAUAUUUUGUCUCCAAAUUAUUGUGGGUUUUUUCAAUUUUCAUAUUUGUCUCUUCAUUAACAUGUUAUUAACAGGGUCAAAUUUUCUGGGAGCACACGUAUAUUAAAAUUGGCUUAACACUUCCUCCUGGAAGGAAUUAUGCCAUAAUCAGAUAACCUGUCUCUCCACCUUUCCCAAAUCAUGGCUUCAUUCUCCAAUGUGAAGGACUAUUUCUGACAGAUAAGUAACAGCUGAUUUGUGCAGAAUGGUCUACAUGUCACAUCAGAUCCUUUUUCUAUCAACAUUUAUUUUUUGACCCCUCAGGAACACACUACUUUUUCCAUCACCUUCCCUCACUAUUUUUAUUUUUUUGAGGAAAAUACUAUUACUAUUGCAGAGAUCUUGUAAAGCCUCCUAAAAGCAAGGAAAAAUGCUAAGCUUGUGCAUUGACACCAGCUGUCAGCUCAGCAUUUAGUUAAAAUGUUAAGAGACAGAGCCAAGGACAAAUUUGAAAGCAUAAUCUCAUAUAUAUCAUGAUGAAUCAUAUCUUGAAAUGUCUUACCUUAACUAGCCUGGAAGGGUGAUUGUAAGUGAGUUGUAAGCAAGAUGUCUGAGCUAUUCUGGAAAGGAACUACAUAGCGUGUGGCAAAUUUAUGUGCUGAAGGAAUAAAGAUUUACUAGCAGCUCUUAAAGAUGGUGUGAAUAUGUAUUAAUUAACAAAGUUUUGGUGACAUCAUUGGUAAAUUUCUUUUUACAGAACUACAGAUAUAGUAGAGAUGUAGUACUGUAGGAAGCCAUGUAGACAUAGGAAGAAAAUGAAAUAAAUGCUUUCCUGGCGAUCAGGAUUUCUAACUGAAGUCCAGAACAAUAUUUUGUUUCCUACAAGGUCCAUGAAAUGCUAAAAAUACUUUUUUAGGCCAUAAAUAUCUGUAAUGCUAUGAUAGCAUCACAAAGGUACCAGGAUCUGGCAUCAUCAUAAAGAACAAGAUUUCUCUGCAAGAUCCAAAUAUCCUCAAAACAUGCAAAUAAUAUAUUAUUGAGCCACUUUAGAUUUUAAAAAACCACGUCUUAAAUUUAACAUCACUGGAGAUGGCUACUUGUUCUAUGCCACCUACUCCUUGCAUCUGUGUCAAACCUAAUGUCAUAAAAGGUUAAGGAAAAAUAAUAAACAUAAUUUUUUUUCAAAAGAACCCAACCCCGUCUGAGAAGCCUUAGGACAACUGUAACAGAUGUUAUAGAUGCAUAGCCACACUGCAAGUGAGGAAGGGGUAAGUGUGAAAAAUAAGCACUACAAAAUUUCUCUGUAUAUCUUAAAUGCAGAGCAGUUUAAGCUAAAAGAUCAGAAGUUAAAAACAAAAUAAACUAGAAGGUGGCUGGGGAUGUUAUGAUCCCUUUACCAGAGAGAUGCCUCCACUCAAAUUAAGGUGAAAACAAGACCAUAGGCCAAAGUCAAUAGUACAGAUUUUAUUUACUCAUAAAUGUGAGGUAGAGAGAGGUAGAAAGAAAUAGAAAAAACAGAUGGGGAGAGAGGAGGGGAGAAGAGAGAGAGUCCACCCAUGGAUCCAGCAGCAUCCCAUUGUCUUUCUUCACCCUGGUCUUGUCAGCAAUGGGUUUCACAAAGCUGCAAAACUUCCUGAGGUUUCAAAACUUUUCACUACUUACACAUUUUAGCAAACAAAGGAGUUAGUGGAUACAGAGCUCUCUGAUUCAAACAGUCAAAUGAUUCUCUUGCUAAUUCCAAUGCUAAUCAGUCCCACGCUCAGCCUUUCUCUUCUUUUGACUAGGUGGGUUUUUUGAUUCCGUGGGUUGUGCACAAUCUCCCUCUGCCAGAAGCACCUCCAGCCAGCGGGAGCUUGUGGGGUGAGGGUCUGCAGUGACAGAGUCCCCAGGCAGUGCAAAGGAGAGCCCCCUUAUGGGAAAAACUUGGCCUUUUUAGGCAGGUAGCCGGUCAUUAGCCACAUGGUUUUAAGUCAUAACAAAGAUAAUUCAACCAACCACCAUACACCAUGAUGUGAACACAGAAUGGUUACAUAACUUGUUUGUGUAGCCCUAAUUCAGCUGAGUGUCUUUCCCAUAGUCCUUUUCUACUUAGCCAAAGGAACAGGCCUGAGCCAUGGUUUUACAAGGCCUCUCUUUUAUAAAGCCUUACGUAUCAGGAAGAGGAGCUGCCCUCAGCAGUUGCUGAGUUUUCUUCCCUUGGGGAUUCUUUGCAAUGAUUAAUUCCUCUCCCCACAGCUUGUUUACCUCCCCUCUUGGCCUGAGAUAAUGUGCAGAAAAUGGUACCACUUUUAUCUUGUUUCAAGUUCCCACCAAGUGCCUUAAGUGACAGUCCAAGUUUCAGGAAUCCAAAGGCAUAUUCAGGGGCCAGGGGGACACUUUGGUGGUCACAGAUCUCAGCUGUCCUAUACCUUGGGCUGAUAUUCAUUUGACUGUCAACAUGCUUAGGGGCAGUUGUCCCUCCACACAUUUUGUCACAACUGGGGAAUCUUUGUCUGGAUUCAUCACCCAGGAUGUGUUAGUCAACCUCACCAGGCCUGGAGUUAAAGACAUUCUGUGUUUAUGUCAGGGCAAAGUCCUUCUGUGAUUUAAACCGUGUUUGAGACAGGCAAUUGUGAACCUUACAGAGGCUCAGAAGUAUUUGGGAAUUAUUUGCCCCUCCUCUGCACUCAUCAGCAGACAUAACAAACAGUUUUGCCUGCAGUGUAAGGGGGAAGGGACACAGAGAAGCCCUGCCUGAGGAACAGUUCUGAAACAGGAACAGAAAUGUCUCCAGCUUUCACAAAGAAAUCCUGUGUGACAGAUGGAGAAAUUGUAGGUGUGAAGUAUAUUUGAAGUUUGCAUUUAUUUAUUUCUUCAUUCUUCUCUAUUCUAACUUUGCUGCCAGUAAAUAAUCAAGAACUUAACCCUUUGAAUUACUAUUUUUUUAUCUGAAUGCAUCUCUAGU